UUUUCUUUUCUGUACGUCGUAGAAUUUUGCCUGGGUGGCAGAAAUGGACGCUUUGUAAUGGUUGUUUAAAAAUGGAUAGAAGUGUAUGGUUGGAUAUAUCUUACUCAAUAAUUAAUAUAUAUAAAGAGAAAUCUGAUCAUAAAAUAUUAGAAUUUCUUAGUUGUUCCGAAGAUCCUGCAAUUGUCUAUAGUUACCUGCACCAUCACUUAUCGUUAUUAGUAAAUUUGUUUUUUGAGAGUGAUGAAAUAUUAACAAAAGUAAAACGACGUAAAAUUCAUACUUUGGUAGUUAAUAUUUUUUUUUCUACUAUUGCGAGACAUGGUAAGAACGAAGCAAUACUUAAAGAAAUAAUGGAUAAUUAUAAUAAGAUAUUGUAUAACCAAUAUUUUAAUAUGGAUCUCUCGCUAGUAAUAAAUAUGAACGCAACAUUAAUAGUAAUGAUUAACAAUGCAUAUUCCCAGAAGCAACUUUACGAGAUACAAAAAUUUGCAAUUCAUAAUCAGCAUUUUACUUUGAGUGUUAAAAACAAGUUAAAGGCACGUUCUGAAAAACUGUUCAGUCAGAUGAAAUUUUAUGAAGAUAUGUAUGCAAAGACUGCAAAGCUUUAAUAGAUCUAUAUCCGCUAAAAAUUUAACUUCAAUAAAUACACCAACAAUAUUUCAAUUAACGAACUGUUUAUACAUACCUAUAUACAAUAAUAUUAUGUGUACUGUUUUUAUGU
Molecule: long non-coding RNA, 721 nt
Organism: Nylanderia fulva
Lineage: Eukaryota; Metazoa; Arthropoda; Insecta; Hymenoptera; Formicidae
Source: RefSeq, a predicted model, not a curated record